AUGAAAAGCCAAAAUCUGAUUGAGCCUCGUAUCCACUCAAGUCCCAGAAACCGUAUUCGGGCAAUGGACAGAACAGGGAGACAUAACAGUAAGAAGACUCUGGAUCUGCCAAGCUUUCUCUGCUUGCUCAGUCGAGGUCACUGUGAGACAAGAAGACCUGGGUUCAAAUCUCUGUUAUGUCAUCAUGCUCUCCAAGCAGCUCUCUUGGCUACUGCACCAGAUAUUUGUGAAGAUCAAAAGAGGCAAAGUGAGUCUUCAGGGUGGAUAAUCUCUUGUGUGAUACAAACUGCAAUGAUCCCUUGGAGGAUGGGAACAAAAUUCAAAACGACCUUGAUAGGCUUGAGCCCAAGGCGGGAAACCAAGCAAUGACAUUUAACAGGGGUAAGUGCAGAGUUCUACACCUGGGAAGGGAAAAACACCAAAUGAGAGUUACAAGACGGGAGAGACUUGGCUUGGUAAUACUAUGAGUGAGAAGAAUCACAAGCUGAAUAUGAGCCAACAGUGUGAUGUGGCUGCAAAAGAGGCAGAUGCUAUUGUAGCCUGCAUAAUUAACUUGUAAACCGCCCAGAGAGUGCUUGAAGCACUAUGGGGCAGUAUAUAAGCAGCACGCUUUGCUUUGCUUUUGCUUUGUUAACAGAAACAGGGUCUCCAAAACCCACGAGGUAGUUGUUCCCCUCUAUUCAGUACUGGUUAGGCCUCUAUUCUAGAAUACAGUGUGUCAGAACUCACACCUAAAGACUUGCACUUGAAUGUUGGACUGGGGGACUUGCCAACAUCCCUGGAAGGAUGCUGCCUAGUUCAGUGUUUUGGGCCUCUGGCUACAGAGCAAGAAGUUGGUUGGGAGUUCGAUUCCCGCCACUGGCCCUCCUUGUCAGGGGCUGGACUGGAUGAUCCACAGGGUCCCUUUCCAGCUCUGCCGUUCUAAGACUACAGUAUUGUUAUUAUUAUUAUUAUUAUUACCACCUUUGGAUUCAAGCCAGUAUUGCUUAUAUCCAAUCCAAUCCAGUAUUUUGGAGACUUGAUCUAACACCCAUGACUCAAGAAUGGUUGAAGAGGUAAAAUUCAAGCCCCAUCUUUUGCACUUCCUAAGAAUUCUCUGGAGCAGCUUCAGUAAGGCUUACGCAAUAAAAGUUGACGGCUCGUUGGGUUUCA
RNAcentral lists this long non-coding RNA (1152 nucleotides) under Pogona vitticeps (central bearded dragon). RNAcentral describes it as "lncRNA (ENSPVIG00000020799.1)". The record is from RNAcentral. Lineage: Eukaryota; Metazoa; Chordata; Lepidosauria; Squamata; Agamidae.